RNAcentral lists this long non-coding RNA (2750 nucleotides) under Sus scrofa (pig). RNAcentral describes it as "lncRNA (ENSSSCG00055000877.1)". The record is from RNAcentral. Lineage: Eukaryota; Metazoa; Chordata; Mammalia; Artiodactyla; Suidae.
GAUUCUGCUCUUUCAGAAGGGAAGAGACCGCUGCGGGUGGGGUUGAGGUCUGCUCUCGAGCGAGAGAGGAUUGGCUGUCCCCUCGAGGGUCCUCACAGGAGAGGAAUUGCCUCCCUUAGGAGGUUUACCUGGUAAGGAGCCUGAGACCUAAGAGGCUCUGGAACCCAGUUCAUCUCCCCUCUGAUAAUCGAUUUUUUCGAUCAGGCUCGUAUUAUCGAAGCUUCAUAAGAUUGAUACAAAAAUCAGAAUGUCUGUUUAUUAAUUUAAACUGGGAAAAAAAUAACUGCCUUGGGAAGCAGAUUUUCAGGUCCCGACUAGCACAUUGCCUUCCCCAUAGGUUUUGCCACAUGGGAAACCACGUUAUAAUUAGAAGGUUGCUUGGUGAGUAUGAAGGCAGAAGAAGUGGAGAAUAUAUUUGGAAUGUGUUUUGGAGUCGGGUCUUUUUUAACCCCUCAAAGACCAAUAACCCCAUCUGGCCUUUGGGGUACUAAUAGUACCUUGUUCACAGGGUGUUGGAAGGAUCCUGUGUGGCUGUGGCGUAGGCCAGCGGCUACAGCUCCGAUUAGACCUCUGGCCUGAGAACCUCCAUAUACCACAGGUGCGGCCCUAAAAAGACAAAAAAUAAAAGCAUAGCAUAAUAGAGAACCAUGAGUGGUUUACCUCUAUUGUUGUCAGGAAAUUCUGGAUUAAGGCGUAAUCCAGCAGUUUGUUCCUUAGUCACAUUUUUGGGCGUACUUAUUAUCUACAGUGUUGUUUCUCCAGACUAGCAGCAUUCGGUGUCACCAUCGCUUGAGAGGUUCCCAGAAGGUGUAAAUUCUUGUCCCCUACCCCAGAUCUACUGCGUUGAAUCCUGGGGUGUGAGGGGGAGAUCAGAGAUUGCCAGCCGUCUGUGUUUUAAGGAACCCUGUAGGUGAUUCAGAUGCAUGCAUGCUGAAGUUGGAGAACCACUGGUUUGUAGUUAGGACAACCUUUCCAAAAAAAUGCUGGCAUGAGCAAUGUUGAGGACAAGAUGAUUCCAACUGGCUUGACCGUAAAACAGGAAUGUCUGUAGUGAAUCAACGUAGCUGUGUUUGGGAUCAGUUACGUUAACAUGUUAUCAUGCGCUCCACUUAAUUAAGUACUUUGUUGGCAUGAGCAAGUCAUCUGCGCUGGAAAUGACAGCUAUCAAAAGAGUAAUUGUCUUAAAGCCCCGGGGAGGGGGAUGAAUCACCAGUUUACAGAACCUGUUCUGCUUUGGGCUGACAUAUUUUUUUUAUCAACUAAAGGCUAUGGGGAACAGGAGCUGUGUUUGGGGCUAAGGUAAGGAAACCGGGUGGUUUUAUUCACACUUAGACUGAGCCGGCCUGCUGUCGUGUCGUUUCAACAUUUUAAUUGAAUAGUGAAAUUCUGAAAUAGAGAAAUAGGAAAAAACGAACCUUGUAAAUGCACAAACAGGCAAAUUGUAAAUUUUUACUAUUAUCUAUAAACUGAUCUUAUGGUCUCUAACCAGAAACAGAUGGACACAGUGACGGUCGGGAUGCCAGUGCCGCUCGGUCCUUCCCCACUGAUUCCUUUGAAUAAUUACUCAAGAAGAGGGACAAGCGGUGAAAAAGGAAAACGCAGCACUGUGGUGGGAAGCAGAGUCAAGCAUCAGGGAGAUGAAGGCAGCAGAACGUUUCCAGAGGGAGGCCGUGGUGAACAGUAGGAAAGGUUGCCAGUAGGUCAGAUAAGAGGGACGCAAUGUGUCCAUUAGGUGUAGGGACAAGAGAGGUGAGUGGUCACCUUGAAGAGGAAUUUCAGUGCAGCAGAAAGCAGCAGCUGGGUGGACGUGGGGUGGUCCCUGAGCUGGAGAUAAAACGGAAGUGGCGCGUUGAAGAGGAGGAUAGCUAGAUGCGGACGGAGGGUCUUCUUGCCCGACAGCCUUCUCUGGGUAAGACUUGUUGUUUAGAUCUGGUUACUAACCUGAUCACUAUAUUGAUUUGGCAUAAUUUUCACUUAGCAUGAGUCAUCCUAACGUUAUUUCUCAGAUGAAUGUAUCAUUUCUUGCUGCCUUUAUGAAGUAUUGAAACUUGGCGUUACUACUUUUCAUAGCCUCGAGGAUCAAGGACCCGGUUAAAAACCACCACCAUGUCGCUGUCCCCAUAGAACUCAUUUGGAAUUAUCAUUUAAAUUCCAUUGUCUUAAAGCACUGAAAGGCAGGUUUGUAUAUUUGCAUGCCAAGGUGGUUAAAAAACUCCUUGAAUGUCUCUCAAGCUCAACACCUGGCAUAUUAUUUUAAACAUAGGGUUAGGAGGUUCGGUUCUGCUUUGCUGUUUGAAUUGGCAUUGGUUACUAAUAGAAAACCUGUUUUCACAUUGAUUUUUAGGGAAGAUUCAAACAGGAGUGUUUUCAUUGAAUAAACAUUGAGCACCUACCGUAUUCCUGGCAGUGCUAGGGGUUAAAAAUAAAAAUGGCACAAAUCCUGCCUUGAGUUCACCGUUCAUUGGGGAACACAGAAGUAAACAAACCGCGGCGAUGUUAAAAGCUGCACCGGAAGAACACAUUAGGAGGUCCUGCUGUGGCUCAGUGGGUGCAAAACCCGACUGGUAUCCGUGAGGAGGCGGGUUCUAUUCCUGGCCUCGCUCGGUGGGUUAAGGAUUUGGUGUUGCUGCAAGCUGCGGUGUGGGUCACCGAUGUGGCUUGGAUUUGGCGUGGCUGUGGCUGUGGUGUAGGCUGGCAGCAGCGGCAGCUCGGAUUUGGCCCCUAGCCUGGGAACUUCCAUAUGCCACAGG